Molecule: transfer RNA, 60 nt
Filed under: Heterosigma akashiwo
Lineage: Eukaryota; Raphidophyceae; Chattonellales; Chattonellaceae
Rfam family: tRNA
About the family: Transfer RNA (tRNA) molecules are approximately 80 nucleotides in length. Their secondary structure includes four short double-helical elements and three loops (D, anti-codon, and T loops).
Source: RNAcentral
GAUAGUAUAGUGGCUAGUAUCCCCGCCUGUCACGCGGGAGACCCGGGUUCAAUUCCCGGU